Molecule: ribosomal RNA, 322 nt
Filed under: uncultured bacterium
Lineage: Bacteria
Description: bacterial SSU rRNA
Rfam family: Bacterial small subunit ribosomal RNA
Source: RNAcentral
AGCUCGUGUCGUGAGAUGUUGGUUAAGUCCCGCAACGAGCGCAACCUUACCCUUAGUUGUUUUCCCGAAAGGAUUACCUCUAAGGGGACUGCCCCGGACAACGGGGAGGGAAGGUGGGGAUGACGUCAAGUCCGCAUGCUCCUUACGUCUAGGGCUACACACGUCCUACAAUGGGGUCGACAGUGGGAUGCAAAGCCGCGAGGUGGAGCCAAUCCCCAAACGGCCUCUCAGUUCGGAUAGUAGUCUGCAACUCGACUACGUGAAGUCGGAAUCACUAGUAAUCGCGGAUCAGCAUGCUGCGGUGAAUACGUUCCCGGGUCUU